AGCCCUGUGAUCUGGCCCUGGGAUCACGGCUGCACAUAGAAACCCACCAUUAAGCGCUCUGCAGUUGCCCAGCUCACUGGGAGCUCUGCCCGAGUGAGGACUGCAUGGACCAGACUGUGGAAAUGUAUGUGACGUCAGACAGGGGUAAUGUAAUGCUGGGGGUGGCCCCUGGGGAGGGGGCAGUGGUGGACUCCAGGGUCCUGGGGCAUAUGGAGAUUGGAGGCUGAGUUUCAAUUUGGACACGAAUAAGGAACCAGAUGACAAAUCUCGCCUCCGCCCUUCCCCUUCCAGUUGUGUCACCCCCACAUUGCUGCUUCGUGUGCUUGUAUUCAGGGUUAAAUAAAAGAUCAAAAGAAACAAAGGGUGUGAGAGGGAGUUGGGGAUCGGGGC
Molecule: non-coding RNA, 390 nt
Organism: Chelonoidis abingdonii (Abingdon island giant tortoise)
Lineage: Eukaryota; Metazoa; Chordata; Testudines; Testudinidae
Source: RefSeq, a predicted model, not a curated record